RNAcentral lists this ribosomal RNA (143 nucleotides) under uncultured eukaryote. RNAcentral describes it as "partial 18S ribosomal RNA". It matches the Rfam family "Eukaryotic small subunit ribosomal RNA", at positions 1299 to 1458 of the family's 1831-position model. The record is from RNAcentral.
UGGUGGAGUGAUUUGUCUGGUUAAUUCCGUUAACGAACGAGACCUCCGCGUGCUAAAUAGCCCGCGUUACAAUUCGUUGUAGCGUUGGGCUUCUUAGAGGGACUUUUGGGUAAUCAAACCAAAGGAAGUUGGAGGCAAUAACA